Molecule: RNase P RNA, 396 nt
Filed under: Actinomycetes bacterium
Lineage: Bacteria; Bacillati; Actinomycetota; Actinomycetes
Description: RNase P RNA component class A
Rfam family: Bacterial RNase P class A
About the family: Ribonuclease P (RNase P) is a ubiquitous endoribonuclease, found in archaea, bacteria and eukarya as well as chloroplasts and mitochondria. Its best characterised activity is the generation of mature 5'-ends of tRNAs by cleaving the 5'-leader elements of precursor-tRNAs.
Source: RNAcentral
CGAGUUGGCCGGGCGGCCGCGGUCGAUGGGAAACCAUCGAUCGAGGAAAGUCCGGGCUCCACAGGGCAAGGUGGUGGGUAACGCCCACCCGGGGUGACCCGCGGGACAGUGCCACAGAAAACAGACCGCCGUCCGGUCCGCCGGACGGUAAGGGUGAAACGGUGGUGUAAGAGACCACCAGCGCUACAGGCGACUGCAGCGGCUUGGUAAACCCCACCUGGAGCAAGGUCAAGAGGCGUCGGUUUCGGUCGGCGCUGCGCAGGCGUUCGAGGACGGCCCGUCCGAGCCUGCGGGUAGACCGCAUGAGGUCGUCGGUAACGGCGGCCCCAGAUGGAUGGUCGCCCCGUGUGCCGCAAGGUAAACGGACAGAACCCGGCUUACAGGCCAACUCGCUCG